Molecule: ribosomal RNA, 265 nt
Filed under: uncultured archaeon
Lineage: Archaea
Description: partial 16S ribosomal RNA
Rfam family: Archaeal small subunit ribosomal RNA
Source: RNAcentral
AGUCACUGACAUUAGACUACCCCUGUAGUCCCAGCCGUAAACUAUGCGCGUUAGGUGUAUCGGUGACCACGAGUUACCGAGGUGCCGAAGGGAACCGUGAAACGUGCCGCCUGGGAAGUACGGUCGCAAAGCUGAAACUUAAAGGAAUUGGCGGGGGAGCACCACAACAGGUGGAGCCUGCGGUUUAAUUGGACUCAACGCCGGGAAGCUCACCGGAUAGGACAGCAGAAUGAUUGCCGGGCUGAAGACCCUGCAUGACUAGCUG